This 580-nucleotide ribosomal RNA is filed under the name Phomopsis sp. EXMQ-4. RNAcentral describes it as "eukaryotic LSU rRNA". The stretch from base 207 to 360 matches the Rfam family "5.8S ribosomal RNA". Lineage: Eukaryota; Fungi; Ascomycota; Sordariomycetes; Diaporthales; Diaporthaceae. The record is from RNAcentral.
UCCGUAGGUGAACCUGCGGAGGGAUCAUUGCUGGAACGCGCUUCGGCGCACCCAGAAACCCUUUGUGAACUUAUACCUAUUUGUUGCCUCGGCGUAGGCCGGCCUUUUGUGACAAAGGCCCCCUGGAAACAGGGAGCAGCCCGCCGGCGGCCAACUAAACUCUUGUUUCUAUAGUGAAUCUCUGAGUAAAAACAUAAAUGAAUCAAAACUUUCAACAACGGAUCUCUUGGUUCUGGCAUCGAUGAAGAACGCAGCGAAAUGCGAUAAGUAAUGUGAAUUGCAGAAUUCAGUGAAUCAUCGAAUCUUUGAACGCACAUUGCGCCCUCUGGUAUUCCGGAGGGCAUGCCUGUUCGAGCGUCAUUUCAACCCUCAAGCCUGGCUUGGUGAUGGGGCACUGCCUUCUAGCGAGGGCAGGCCCUGAAAUCUAGUGGCGAGCUCGCUAGGACCCCGAGCGUAGUAGUUAUAUCUCGUUCUGGAAGGCCCUGGCGGUGCCCUGCCGUUAAACCCCCAACUUCUGAAAAUUUGACCUCGGAUCAGGUAGGAAUACCCGCUGAACUUAAGCAUAUCAAUAAGCGGAGGA